CACCUCCCUUUCGGGAAAUGGCAAUCAGGGCGGGCUCCCAGCCCCUCGCAGAAAGGGAGCAUUCUCACUUCAACAUCAAAAUCUGCAUGCUAUCCCUCCAUCAACUCCAAGCCCUCCGUCCUGGAGCUUUCCCCAGCCACUGCAGGGAGCACAGCAGUAGACCUCGCUGCCAAUGCUGAGGUGAUGGACAAACUCCAGUUUGGAUACCAGCCCAACGACUGAAGCCAUACCAUAAAGCCAACAAGAAAAAGAAAAUUCCUGUGGGACGUUGAGCCACCAGUGAUGCAGUUCCAGGGUCUGACACUGAAGACAACAGUGAUCAGGCCGACACCCUGAACUAGGGAAGCCCGACACCCAACUUGGGGUCGGAUAAAAAAGCUGUGUCAGGAUGCUGAAAAACAAGUUCAGCAAGCUCAGCUGCCUAUGACAGGUCCUAACCUGAUGGCGACAAUGUUGGCUUUAAUUGCUAUUGCUUCCUCAGAUGCACAAGAAAAACCCUCUCAGAUCUAAAGCAGAAAGAAGCUGCUUGGUCCAUCCUGUCUGCAUCGAAGAAACAAAAAGGGGGACAUGUGGGGAACCAAGCUUUUCAUGUCACUUAGACCAUGUCCAGGGUGGCGGCCUGGAACACUGGGUUACAAGCCUGCAUGUAACGCCAUGUAGGCAUGCCCUGUAAAGAUGUGUGUCUUGUGGCUAUGACAGCAGCAUUAACCAUUGACCCCAGAUUGUUCCCUCUUAUCCACAGCAGAAUGUAAAGAUUAAUAUCUGAGAGACCCUGAAUGCUUUUGAUCAUGUAGCGUAGUCCAGCGUUGUGUAACAAACAAAUAAAUAACUGGAGCACAGGUGCAUCAGCACCCACUUGGCACAUGAUGCUGUGGGUCCUCUGCUCCCUUAAAUCUUGA
Long non-coding RNA from Choloepus didactylus (southern two-toed sloth), 899 nucleotides. RefSeq lists it as uncharacterized. The transcript is spliced from 3 exons. The record is from RefSeq and is a predicted model, not a curated record. Lineage: Eukaryota; Metazoa; Chordata; Mammalia; Pilosa; Megalonychidae.